This 465-nucleotide ribosomal RNA is filed under the name uncultured bacterium. Its description in RNAcentral is "bacterial SSU rRNA". It matches the Rfam family "Bacterial small subunit ribosomal RNA", at positions 32 to 506 of the family's 1533-position model. The record is from RNAcentral.
AUCAACGCUGGCGGCGUGCCUCAGACAUGCAAGUCGAACGAUUAAAGCUCUCUUCGGAGAGUGCAUAAAGUGGCGCACGGGUGAGUAACACGUAAGUAAUCUACCCUCGGGUGGGGAAUAACGUCGGGAAACCGACGCUAAUACCGCAUAAUGCAGCGGCACCGCAAGGUGACAGUUGUUAAAGGAGUAAUUCGCCUGGGGAGGAGCUUGCGGCAGAUUAGCUAGUUGGUAAGGUAAUGGCUUACCAAGGCUACGAUCUGUAACCGGUCUAAGAGGACGGUCGGUCACACUGACACUGAAUAACGGGUCAGACUCCUACGGGAGGCAGCAGUCGGGAAUUUUGGGCAAUGGGCGAAAGCCUGACCCAGCAACGCCGCGUGAAGGAUGAAGUAUUUCGGUAUGUAAACUUCGUAAGAAUAGGAAGAAUAAAUGACGGUACUAUUUGUAAGGUCCGGCUAACUACGU